This 210-nucleotide unclassified non-coding RNA is filed under the name uncultured Chloroflexota bacterium. RNAcentral's name for it is "uncultured Chloroflexi bacterium contains 16S-23S intergenic spacer region". The record is from RNAcentral. Lineage: Bacteria; Bacillati; Chloroflexota.
UCCGGGUUGGACCCGGCGGUCCCGCCAGACAUGGUAACUGGCAGCGAGGGUUGCGCUCGUUGCGGGACUUAACCCAACACCUCACGGCACGAGCUGACGACAGCCAUGCAGCAUCUGUGCACGCUCCCUUGCGGGUCCUUCCCCUUUCGGGGUCGUACCACCUGCAUGUCAAGCCCUGGUAAGGUGGGGAUGACGUAACACAGACUAUAC